Molecule: long non-coding RNA, 709 nt
Organism: Homo sapiens (human)
Lineage: Eukaryota; Metazoa; Chordata; Mammalia; Primates; Hominidae
Source: Ensembl
CAGUUCUUCCUGUCCAGCUGGGAGCAUUCCCUGAUCUGCCUUCCUGCCACUCCCUCUCAGGCCAAUUAAAGGCAGCCUUGUUUUGGGAGUCCCCUCCACCCAAAGGUGUUCCUACCCAGGGGCACAGCCUACUGACUUGGCCCCGGGCCCAGGCGGUUGUGGGGAAGUGUCCCCCACCUAUCACCUAUCAAGUGUACUUUAGCUUAAGGACAUUUCUGGUCUUCUACAGCGUCCUCUUCUUGAUUACAUGGGAGUAGGGGUGGGGGCGGAAGCCUAGGGGCUUCUAGGACCCUUGAGUGAACAGUGAGAGCUCUUGGGACUUCUUGAGCCCAGGGAGUUAUCAAACACCCACGAAAAUAUUUGGGCCAUGAUUUGGAGGGUUCCAUGAGGUUGGGGGGAGGCCUCUUUCCCCGCUGGGCUGACAUCCCCCACCUUAAAAUGAAAGGUUUGAACAGGGUAGCCUCCAGAGUCCUUUCCAUCUCUCAAUUUGAUUAAUAACUUAAGUACCUACUAUUCAAAAGAGGUCUCUCUCUUGAAGGAAUUAACUUGAGGGAAUUAACAUACUCCACCAAAUGCUGAAUCCCUCCCUCUCUCCCCCCGCACACUGAGGGCAGGAACUCUGCUCUAUUUGUUUUUGUGAAAUACCUGUCCCCUAGUUUGUACUCAGGAAAUGCUUGUAUGAAUGAAUAAAUUCGUGCAUGUAACUUUA